This 446-nucleotide ribosomal RNA is filed under the name uncultured bacterium. RNAcentral's name for it is "bacterial SSU rRNA". It matches the Rfam family "Bacterial small subunit ribosomal RNA", at positions 329 to 792 of the family's 1533-position model. The record is from RNAcentral.
UGCCAGACUCCUACGGGAGGCAGCAGUGGGGGAUAUUGCACAAUGGGGGGAACCCUGAUGCAGCGACGCCGCGUGGGUGAAGAAGCGCCUCGGCGCGUAAAGCCCUGUCAGCAGGGAAGAAAAUGACGGUACCUGAAGAAGAAGCCCCGGCUAACUACGUGCCAGCAGCCGCGGUAAUACGUAGGGGGCAAGCGUUAUCCGGAUUUACUGGGUGUAAAGGGGGCGCAGACGGCGAUGCAAGCCAGGAGUGAAAGCCCGGGGCUCAACCCCCGGACUGCUCUGGAAACUGUACGGCUGGAGUGCAGGAGAGGUAAGUGGAAUUCCUAGUGUAGCGGUGAAAUGCGUAGAUAUUAGGAGGAACACCAGUGGCGAAGGCGGCUUACUGGACUGUAACUGACGUUGAGGCUCGAAGGCGUGGGGAGCAAACAGGAUUAGAUACCCCCGUA